GAGUUUGAUCCUGGCUCAGGAUGAACGCUAGCGGCAGGCUUAAUACAUGCAAGUCGUGGGGCAGCGCAGUGUAGCAAUACAUGGGCGGCGACCGGCAAACGGGUGCGGAACACGUACACAACCUUCCUUCAAAUGGGGAAUAGCCCAGGGAAACUUGGAUUAAUACCCCGUAACAUUGCGAAAUGGCAUCAUUUUGCAAUUAUAGCUCAGGCGUUUGAAGAUGGGUGUGCGGCUGAUUAGGUAGUUGGCGGGGUAACGGCCCACCAAGCCUACGAUCAGUAACUGGUGUGAGAGCACGACCAGUCACACGGGCACUGAGACACGGGCCCGACUCCUA
RNAcentral lists this ribosomal RNA (337 nucleotides) under uncultured Saprospiraceae bacterium. RNAcentral's name for it is "bacterial SSU rRNA". It matches the Rfam family "Bacterial small subunit ribosomal RNA", at positions 9 to 341 of the family's 1533-position model. The record is from RNAcentral. Lineage: Bacteria; Pseudomonadati; Bacteroidota; Saprospiria; Saprospirales; Saprospiraceae.